This is a long non-coding RNA of Lolium rigidum, 957 nucleotides long. RefSeq lists it as uncharacterized. Lineage: Eukaryota; Viridiplantae; Streptophyta; Magnoliopsida; Poales; Poaceae. The transcript is spliced from 3 exons. The record is from RefSeq and is a predicted model, not a curated record.
AUUGGGGCUGUACCAAUUUAGUACACUUCCUUUUCCAGAACAGAAUCCUGUUCUUUAAAUGGUUUAUUUCAGGAGAAGUAUCAUGUUAGAGCUUAUACUGUUCUUUUUUUCCAUGGUCAGAUAACUGAUGUCGAGAGCUUUGCAUCUGAUUGCUAAUAUGUAACACCUAGUGUGUGCUGAGUGUUCGUAGCUCUGAACACUGAAGACUGAACAUUGUCAAGAAGAGACCACGAUCCUGCUUUAGCAAAAAGCUUUUGGUGUAAGUGAUUCGAUCUUGGUUGAUUCAUGGUCAACGUUUCCCUUAGUCCAAACUCCAAACUGUUGUGGGCAGUGGGCACAACCCCUUCUUUUCCUCCCUCGAACCGAUGCCUCUUCAAGUUCAGGGUGAUCAUCAUGUUCCAAUUCCUGAAGGCCAUCUCAUCAUUCUACAACCAAAACGAUGACUGCUGUCGGACGUCAUAUAGAGGAUCAUUCCAAGAACUGUCCGAAGCCAUGCGGAGGUGAGUACUGUGCCUUGUUCCUUACCCAGUUCAUCUUCUGCAUUUGGAGUAAAAUAAUCAACCUUUACGCUGCCAGUUGCGACGGCAACUAGUGGAGUGAUCAAUGAUAAGGAAGGUGAUUAGCCUACCACCAAAGAACAAAAAGAAGUUGCAAAAGAUGGCAAGCAGAAGAGCUCAUUUUAACACCCCCUAUCACUCUCUUUUUGUCUCUGUCCAACGAGAUGGCCACAUCUCCACAACACUUUUCCAGUUAGAGAAAAGGGCAAAGAGUUGUUUUCCUUUUCCGAUGCAGAUUCUUCCUUUCACCAUCAACUACUAUAUCAUCAACCCAUCCAUAAAACUCCGCCUAAAAUGGACGUGUUAAACAUUACUGGACAAAUGUUCUGAUUCUGAUUCUGGCAAUAGAUAGGCCUAAAGCACGAACUGCCUGCCACUAACAUUGUUGGUCUGCUUAGGA